RNAcentral lists this ribosomal RNA (695 nucleotides) under uncultured bacterium. RNAcentral's name for it is "bacterial SSU rRNA". It matches the Rfam family "Bacterial small subunit ribosomal RNA", at positions 140 to 851 of the family's 1533-position model. The record is from RNAcentral.
GGGACAACAGUUGGAAACGACUGCUAAUACCGCAUAAGCCCACGGAUCCGCAUGGAUCUGCGGGAAAAGGAUUUAUUCGCUCUAGGAUGGACUCGCGUCCAAUUAGCUAGUUGGUGAGGUAACGGCCCACCAAGGCGACGAUUGGUAGCCGGACUGAGAGGUUGAACGGCCACAUUGGGACUGAGACACGGCCCAGACUCCUACGGGAGGCAGCAGUGGGGGAUAUUGCACAAUGGGGGAAACCCUGAUGCAGCGACGCCGCGUGGAGGAAGAAGGUUUUCGGAUUGUAAACUCCUGUCGUUAGGGACGAUAAUGACGGUACCUAACAAGAAAGCACCGGCUAACUACGUGCCAGCAGCCGCGGUAAAACGUAGGGUGCAAGCGUUGUCCGGAAUUACUGGGUGUAAAGGGAGCGCAGGCGGACCGGCAAGUUGGAAGUGAAAACUAUGGGCUCAACCCAUAAAUUGCUUUCAAAACUGCUGGCCUUGAGUAGUGCAGAGGUAGGUGGAAUUCCCGGUGUAGCGGUGGAAUGCGUAGAUAUCGGGAGGAACACCAGUGGCGAAGGCGACCUACUGGGCACCAACUGACGCUGAGGCUCGAAAGCAUGGGUAGCAAACAGGAUUAGAUACCCUGGUAGUCCAUGCCGUAAACGAUGAUUACUAGGUGUUGGAGGAUUGACCCCUUCAGUGCCGCAG